GCAUCGACCGGCGCAGGCAGGCACUCCCCAACCCAAGACUCGGCACCGAGUCAUGCAAUCGGGUUCCAAUGGACUCGGCGGAAUAGACGACCCAUAGAGCCCCCUUACCGCAGACGCCGCCGACGCUGGGGAUCGCCGCCUCGCCGUCUCGCCGCCACCUUCGCCCGCCCGACCUCAAGGACGACCUAGGUUAACUCGCCAAGGGCGAGUCCCUUCUCAAGUGCCUGUUGAAGCUCGCGGGACUAGGCCACGGAGACCGCGACGAUAGAGGCGCACUCGUUCGCGGCCGGAACGGCCGCUUAAGUUUGACGUCGAGUCCGACACGUGUCCCUCAUCCACCGACGUCGGGACUGGCCAGACCUCCGCUCGAGGCGGCCUCCUCCUUACGAAGUGACGUGUGACCUUCCACUUAGACCUUCCGGGGCCGACCUACUUUUCCUAUCCUUUAGCCCUACCACAUAAUCAUUCAAUAAUUAAUCUUAUUCGCGCUUGAAUAGCGGACCUUCGAAGUGGUGCGAGAGAACGUGACGGAGUUCCUCAUGAUGCGACCUACCGUUGUGUCCUACCUCUAACCAGAUGGUAGAUGUAUCCUCCUAUGGCCCCGAACGUAGAACGUGUAACGUGUAACGCUCCGUAAUCCUGCCGUAUUUCGAGUUCUAGGGUGACUUUUUCAAAUGUCCCCUUGUGGAGGUGCGACCGCGUGCUCCGUGAGACCCGCCAUGACCGUGGAUGGCUAAGAACGAAGUCUAGCACGUAGAGUCGAAUCUGUGGUCGAGUACCGGACGAAUUUGUGCGGGGAUUAGACGCGGCGUCCCUCUAAGGGGGAAUAGUGACGGGGGUACCUCUAAGAUGGAAUCGUGACGAUGCUAGAAGAAAAGUUUUUCGUAAAUACACUUCUACAACACAAUAUCCGUGUUUUGGAUGGGAGGACAACGGAAGCUUAGUAGAAGCGUAAAAAGUACACACGAAAUAUUUCUAAACUCAUGAGAAAAGCUUGAAGGUAAACAAGUAUUGGGACG
Molecule: ribosomal RNA, 1019 nt
Filed under: Triticum aestivum (bread wheat)
Lineage: Eukaryota; Viridiplantae; Streptophyta; Magnoliopsida; Poales; Poaceae
Description: partial small subunit ribosomal RNA
Source: RNAcentral